Molecule: transfer RNA, 84 nt
Filed under: Echinostoma caproni
Lineage: Eukaryota; Metazoa; Platyhelminthes; Trematoda; Plagiorchiida; Echinostomatidae
Rfam family: tRNA
About the family: Transfer RNA (tRNA) molecules are approximately 80 nucleotides in length. Their secondary structure includes four short double-helical elements and three loops (D, anti-codon, and T loops).
Source: Rfam by way of RNAcentral
GACCUCGUACCUCAGCUGGUAGAGUGUGCGCUCUGCAAAUGCGUAGGCGGGGUCCAUGCGGGGGUUCAAAUCCCAUCGAGGCUA